RNAcentral lists this ribosomal RNA (253 nucleotides) under uncultured bacterium. RNAcentral's name for it is "partial 16S ribosomal RNA". It matches the Rfam family "Bacterial small subunit ribosomal RNA", at positions 524 to 776 of the family's 1533-position model. The record is from RNAcentral.
UACAGAGGUCUCAAGCGUUGUUCGGAUUCACUGGGUUUAAAGGGUGUGUAGGCGGGCAGUUAAGUCAGUGGUGAAAUCUCCGGGCUCAACCCGGAAACUGCCAUUGAUACUAUCUGUCUUGAAUAUCGUUGAGGCGGGCAGAAUACGUCAUGUAGCGGUGAAAUGCAUAGAUAUGACAUAGAAUACCGAUUGCGAAGGCAGCUCGCUAAACGAUCAUUGACGCUGAGGCACGAAAGCGUGGGGAUCAAACAGG